RNAcentral lists this ribosomal RNA (484 nucleotides) under uncultured bacterium. RNAcentral's name for it is "partial 16S ribosomal RNA". It matches the Rfam family "Bacterial small subunit ribosomal RNA", at positions 30 to 507 of the family's 1533-position model. The record is from RNAcentral.
AUUGAACGCUGGCGGCAGGCCUAACACAUGCAAGUCGAGCGGAUGAAGGGAGCUUGCUCCUGGAUUCAGCGGCGGACGGGUGAGUAAUGCCUAGGAAUCUGCCUGGUAGUGGGGGAUAACGUCGGGAAACGGGCGCUAAUACUGCAUACGUCCUGAGGGAGAAAGUGGGGGAUCUUCGGACCUCACGCUAUCAGAUGAGCCUAGGUCGGAUUAGCUAGUUGGUGGGGUAAAGGCCUACCAAGGCGACGAUCCGUAACUGGUCUGAGAGGAUGAUCAGUCACACUGGAACUGAGACACGGUCCAGAGUCCUACGGGAGGCAGCAGUGGGGAAUAUUGGACAGUGGGCGAAAGCCUGAUCCAGCCAUGCCGCGUGUGUGAAGAAGGUCUUCGGAUUGUAAAGCACGUUAAGUUGGGAGGAAGGGCAGUAAGUUAAUACCUUGCUGUUUUGACGUUACCAACAGAAUAAGCACCGGCUAACUUCGUG